RNAcentral lists this ribosomal RNA (432 nucleotides) under uncultured bacterium. RNAcentral describes it as "partial 16S ribosomal RNA". It matches the Rfam family "Bacterial small subunit ribosomal RNA", at positions 29 to 507 of the family's 1533-position model. The record is from RNAcentral.
AACGAACGCUGGCGGCAUGCCUAACACAUGCAAGUCGAACGAGACCUUCGGGUCUAGUGGCGCACGGGUGCGUAACGCGUGGGAACCUGCCCUUAGGCUCGGAAUAACUCCCCGAAAGGGUGCUAAUACCGGAUAAUGUCUUCGGACCAAAGAUUUGUCGCCUUUGGAUGGGCCCGCGUUGGAUUAGCUAGUUGGUAGGGUAAAAGCCUACCAAGGCGACGAUCCAUAGCUGGUCUGAGAGGAUGAUCAGCCACACUGGGACUGAGACACGGCCCAGACUCCUACGGGAGGGAGCAGUGGGGAAUAUUGGAAAAUGGGCGAAAGCCUGAUCCAGCAAUGCCGCGUGAGUGAUGAAGGCCUUAGAGUUGUAAAGCUCUUUUACCCGGGAUGAUAAUGACAGUACCGGGAGAAUAAGCUCCGGCUAACUCCGUG